This 468-nucleotide ribosomal RNA is filed under the name uncultured bacterium. RNAcentral's name for it is "partial 16S ribosomal RNA". It matches the Rfam family "Bacterial small subunit ribosomal RNA", at positions 28 to 507 of the family's 1533-position model. The record is from RNAcentral.
GACGAACGCUGGCGGCGUGCUUAACACAUGCCAGUCGAACGGAAAGGCCCUGCUUUUGUGGGGUGCUCGAGUGGCGAACGGGUGAGUAACACGUGAGUAACCUGCCCCUGACUUUGGGAUAACUUCAGGAAACUGGGGCUAAUACCGGAUAGGAGCUCCUGCUGCAUGGUGGGGGUUGGAAAGUUUCGGCGGUUGGGGAUGGACUCGCGGCUUAUCAGCUUGUUGGUGGGGUAGUGGCUUACCAAGGCUUUGACGGGUAGCCGGCCUGAGAGGGUGACCGGCCACAUUGGGACUGAGAUACGGCCCAGACUCCUGCGGGAGGCAGCAGUGGGGAAUAUUGCACAAUGGGCGGAAGCCUGAUGCAGCAACGCCGCGUGCGGGAUGACGGCCUUCGGGUUGUAAACCGCUUUCGCCUGUGACGAAGCGUGAGUGACGGUAAUGGGUAAAGAAGCACCGGCUAACUACGUG